AUACUUUUUUCUCAUUGUCAUGAAUUUGAAAUAGUUAUACAUGUAUGUACAGAUUUGAUUCUUAUUCCUUCACUGACACAUUAUCAUCCAGAGGCCCCUCGAUUUGGAUGGAGUCAUGCAGGGUACUUUUAUUAAGUUAGUGAAAUUUCUGCACAGCAUAUUCAUAUAUUUACACCCAUUAAAGUUUUCUUCCUUUAUUUCUUAUAAAACCACUGCUUUUGAUCUCUACAUAAACCAGUCACUAUUCCUUACACAGACAUUCGGGUCUCAAAGAAAUCUGCCCGCGUAUUAAUAUACACAUUCUUUGGACUACUUUUUAAAAGUAAUCCAAAUGUAAACAUACGUAUUUUUACCGUGCUUAUUAUUGUGUCAGUCGAAAUUUUAAUAAAUUGUGAAAAAUAAAUCUUCAAUUUGUUGCAAUUUUUGUUUCAUUUCAUUUCAAACAUAACUGUAAACACAAUUGUCUGCAAAUGUCAUGUAUAUUUCCAUACAAUGGAUAGUUUUCCUAAGAGCCAGCAUCAGUUUGAUCACUUUGAUUUUGGUGAAAAAGAAAUGGAGUUUGAUGAAUUGUAUUUUCAGACAACUAAUUUUCAACACUUAAACAUGUUAUGCAGUAGUCAAUUAGACGAUAUCACAGAAAACCAGUAUCUCUGCCUUAUCUGACCUCCUCAAGCCUGAGACUCCUGCCACCCCUCUCAACGUGUUCAAAACAGGCAAUAGAUUUAAAGAAAGUACAGACGACGAAGUGAACAGGUUGUUUGAAGCUCGCCAAACUCCCGGGACCAAGAAAAACACUAACUGGGGAUGUGUUCUAUACCUCAGUGUGGUUCCCAAGAGACAGCCGUCCAGUAGCAGUGAUUGACUUUAUCCAAAUGCUCUUCUAGUGGUAGCCCCGGUAGUGUUAUCAUGAAUGUACUGACGGGUGGAUCAGGUUAUAUCAGUGGCGGACCAGGGUUCAGUUCUGUCGGAGGUGGUGGAUCCAGGGGAGGAGGUGGAAGGACACCUUAUGGAAUCAGUGGCGGAUCAACUGUUUACAGCAACGGGCGCGUGGUUGGAAUGAGCGGCAGCGGAAGUGGUAAGAUCUAGGAGGUUUUGACUGGCCUAAUCAAAGAACUUUAUUCGGUUAUAACCAAUAUUUGCCCCCCAAAUCAAACUUUGAUGGAGGUAUAUAUAAUUAAGUUCUUAAAUAGGGGAGUAUAUGCUGACUUCAAAGCACUGAAUAUUUUCAUAAGUAAUGACGUCAUAUGUACGUAAUGACGUCACAAACAUGACGUAAAUUUCAUUUUUUUUAUGAAUUCUACAGAAAAAUGUACAUAUUUCGACGAUAAUUUGAGUAAAAGUCACCGAGCGCAUGUGUGUACAGGAUCAAUAUUUUGAUAUAAUGUGUAGAAUGAUAAUAUAAAUGAAAUAUGUAAAUAUUGUUCCUGAACAAACUUGCGCUCUAUAAAUUUUAAAGCUAAAAUUGUUGAAAUUUUGUCCAUUUGGUCCUCUUUCUGAAAAAGGAUAUAAAAUCGGACUAGUUUGUGACGUCAUAAAAGCAAAAAUUGUGAAUA
RNA transcript from Saccostrea cuccullata (small rock oyster), 1553 nucleotides. It is a transcript of the gene named loricrin-like, with no coding region annotated. Lineage: Eukaryota; Metazoa; Mollusca; Bivalvia; Ostreida; Ostreidae. The transcript has 3 exons. The record is from RefSeq and is a predicted model, not a curated record.